UGGUGACCUCUUAGGGAGGAAGAGAAGGACCGCACCGUCCGGGUUCGAUGGCAACCCUGGCAUCUCACGCCGGGUCCCUCUUAAGGUUCUUUCGUUGGCUUACAAAAAGGAGAUUAGAAGACUUGCUUUCUCAAUCUUCCCACAUCUAAAGAUGCUGAAAAAUGUGACAUUGACCUCAAUAUCAGAGGAUUCUCUGACUCAAAUAAAGGGAAGUUUCUGGGCAAAACUGGUGUAAACCUGAGGCAGAAGUAUUCAACAGAGGUCAGCAGGGAGCCUCGAGUAAAUCCCACUCCAACAAGUCAUUUCCUUCGGGAAGAAGCCUGCAGUCAGGUUUUCUUCUCUCCAAGUUCAUGAGGGGUUGCUACUUGCUUUGCUGAGAAAGAGUGAAGAUUCUUGUACUCCUGGCAAAGAAGGAGUUAAAUGGUGUUAUUUGGAAGUCCUUCUACAUUAUCCAGAUGUGGCUUAGAGAUAGGAUUAUGCUGAUGUCCUUUGUUUUUCUCCUUAAUUACCAAAGAACUCUCUUAUCUCAGACAUUCUGGUGCUUUGUUGGAAUUUUCUUAAUAAUACAGCCUACUACAGAGCAAUUUUGGGGGAGAACUGCAAUCUGACCCUUAAAUUGGGGCAGGAUUCUAGCAAAAUAGAGGCCUCCUGGCCAGAGCCUCUGCUCAGAUUCCUAACAGAAACACACUUCUCAUCAGAAUGGCUUCAGGAGAUCCGAUGACAGAGGCAGUUCUAUGAGUUUGUUGUGCUGGUCUUUUCAUUUACCUGAAAACUAUUUUAAAUGAUUGCUUUCCAAAUGCAGUGACACAGCAGUCAGUUUUCUAGAGACCUUCCAUUCAGUAAACUUCUUGCUCUGAAGGUUUGCCCUGUCAAUCCUGGAGGUGCUUGAAAGCAGAAUGAGCAGGUCACAGAGGCAUAGAAAGGAUAGAGGAUAAUAGAAUCUGUAAGAUUUGGGGAUCACAAAAAGUGAAAAUGAUCCACUGAUAUGUUCACCUCACCUGACUUGCUGGAAGGGACCUCAAAUGGUCUUCACGUUCAUCUUCCUGCCUCCACACAGGACAGCAGCAAAGCUUUCUGCCCACUUGGAGAUUAGGUCUGUUGCUAUCAAUGCUUCAGGAAUUUUUAAAAGUUGAUCUUAUAUUUAUCUUUAAGCAGAUUUACUCUUCCACACUUUUACUCGUUCUUCUACUGACUAUUAAGUUUGACUCUUAAGGGAUAUUCCCAAUUUGCAAAGUAAUUCACUACUUGUUGCUGUUACAAACAUGUCUAAUUUUUUUUAAUUAUCCAGUUACCACAGGAAAGUUAAUCAUGAUAAUCUAGAGCUUACAUCUUGACUUUUCGGUUUUUGAAUUUGUGAAAAAGCACAGUUUAUUGUCAGGUGACUUGAAUUCUCCCUAAAUUCAACCCCUUGCCUUUCCUGGCACUGUAGAAUGGUGGACAGAGAAAUAGAGCUGAAGCCAGAAGCCUCAAAUCCCAACUCCACCAUUACAAGCUGCAUCAUCACCAUUUAUGUUACUCUUGAUUUAUAGCCCCAAUUUUCUCAUCUGCAAAAUGUAAAAAAGCAUACCUAUGCCCCUAAUAAAUCAGGUAAUAAAUGUAAAAAGCAUUUUUAAAAUGCUAAAAUA
This is a non-coding RNA of Callorhinus ursinus (northern fur seal), 1625 nucleotides long. The record is from RefSeq and is a predicted model, not a curated record. NCBI's taxonomy places the organism in Eukaryota, Metazoa, Chordata, Mammalia, Carnivora, Otariidae.